RNAcentral lists this ribosomal RNA (397 nucleotides) under uncultured bacterium. RNAcentral's name for it is "bacterial SSU rRNA". It matches the Rfam family "Bacterial small subunit ribosomal RNA", at positions 362 to 758 of the family's 1533-position model. The record is from RNAcentral.
UUUUGGACAAUGGGGGCAACCCUGAUCCAGCAAUGCCGCGUGAGUGAAGAAGGCCUUCGGGUUGUAAAGCUCUUUUGUCAGGGAAGAAACAGCAGCUCUAACACAGUCUGCGAAUGACGGUACCUGAAGAAUAAGCACCGGCUAACUACGUGCCAGCAGCCGCGGUAAUACGUAGGGUGCGAGCGUUAAUCGGAAUUACUGGGCGUAAAGCGUGCGCAGGCGGUUAUACAAGACAGGCGUGAAAUGCCCGGCCAGAACCUAGGAAGGGCGCCUCGGCCAGAUAGUUAUAAUGUGUCACAGGAGGGUAGAAUUUCAGCCCUAGCAAUGCAAUGCGUAGAUAUGGCCAGUAUACAAUAUGACAGAAUUCCCCCUUUAUACAGAACGAUCAGCUAAAAAA